This is a non-coding RNA of Chelonoidis abingdonii (Abingdon island giant tortoise), 100 nucleotides long. NCBI's taxonomy places the organism in Eukaryota, Metazoa, Chordata, Testudines, Testudinidae. The record is from RefSeq and is a predicted model, not a curated record.
CCACUUAUCUUAGCACUACAGUAUAUCUGAAGUCGGAGUCCUAAGCUCAAGGUAUUUAAAAAAAAAAAAAGUCAAGAAUACACAGCAACCAGGGUCAAGU